This 475-nucleotide long non-coding RNA is filed under the name Phascolarctos cinereus (koala). RNAcentral describes it as "lncRNA (ENSPCIG00000037338.1)". The record is from RNAcentral. Lineage: Eukaryota; Metazoa; Chordata; Mammalia; Diprotodontia; Phascolarctidae.
GCUCCAUAAUCUAGGGGAGGGACAGUGUUAAAUGGUCCAACCCCAGAGUUUAGAGUUUGCCACAGACAUUUACAUCCUGAACCUGUGGAGUGGGGUCUAAGAUGGGCUGGGCUACAUAGGGUGGAGUAAGGUUCCUGAUUUCUGAAGGCAGAUCUCCCAGAAUAAUCUCCUGUAACAGACUAACCAUGAAGAAAGAUGAAAGGCAAGAUGAGUGAAUACAGGAAACUAAGGUCUGGAGGGGAGCUGUGCCUGUCUGAGACUGAAUUGAAAACUGUUUUCUAUUAAUGCUGCUUGUGGAAGAAGAGUUCUAGGUAACUAGAUGGUUUAAAUGUUUUUAACUGUAGUCAGAUUAGGGAAAGAGUGAAUCAAUCAACAAGCAUUUGUUUUAUUUUGAAUUUUAAGAUAUUUUAUUUUUUCCCAAUUACAUGUAAAGAUAAAUUUUAACAUUCAGCUUUUAAAAUUGAGUUCCAAAUUC